CAGCCCUGCUAGAGACAGCCAAAUUGCAGUAAUCGGUGGGUAACAGUCAAAGAAAUGCAACCUAUUGUACAACUAAGGGCCAAUUCAAGAGCUUGUGGAUGAAAGGUGUAAGUCCUCAAAGCAGGGGGUUUUGCAUAAGACAGGAAAACCCUUGGUUUGUGGGUGCAGGUGUUUGUUCUCGCCUGGAUCUAAACCACAAGCUUCAACUAAUCAUAGUCUUGAUUGAAGACCAUUAUUAGUUAAUUAACUGAAUCAAGCGUUUUAGUGCUUGGCUAGAGCAAAAGCUUUCACCCACAUGGCAAUUCGCUGAUAAGAUUGGGCACCCCUGUGCUAAUGUAAUGAUUCAUUUAGAUGAUUAAGGAACUGCAAAAGUGUUGAUUGCUUAACAGCUGGCUUCAGAAAAAGCCUGCAGCGCCCUCAUGGUUUGGAGGAUAUAAUUGCAGUUUCAAAAAAAAAAAAAAAAAAAGUCUUCAAGAAAAAUGUGUGGUCCUUGCAAUCAAAGUCUGACUCAUUUCAGCUUGCUAUUUCAGGAGCUAAUGACAGUCUCCAGUGUGUGAAUGUCACAGUCUGGCGUAACCUCCUCUUAUUACCCCUGGGCCUUAUUCAAUGGGCAGAACAUUCUGGAACUUUUUGAACAUUGCUUCAGUGAACGUUGGUUGGUCCAGUACCAUUUUUGGAAUAAUAAUGAAUGUAUGCAGGACGGCACAGUGGUGCACCGUCACCUCAAAGCAAGAAGGUCUGAAUCCUGAAUCUGAAUUCUGUGUGGAGUUUGCGAGUUCUCCCUGUCUCUGCGUGGGUUUCCUCUGGGUACUCCGGCUUCCUCCCACAGUCCAAAGUUGAAGAGUUUAAAAUGGCCACUGACUCUGAGGAAGGUACUCUGCAGGCUGGCGGAUGGGUGUUGCCGUGGCAGCAAUGAUGGUGGCGUGUCGCCGGUGCGUAUGGAAAGUCCUUCAAAGUCUGUCUGUUCGCUGCAGGCGGCAUUCUAAUGAGGUCAUCAAUAACCAGCAACAGCUGCUCUGGGGGGUGUGGGGGGGGGACGGGGAUUCGUCUGAGGAGACUGACGGGAAGAGAGAGCUCGGGCUGAAACUCGGAGGGGAGAAAAAUAUACACUCCAGAAAAACGGGGAACAGUGGCGUGCGCCGCGUUUGCUGAAAAGGAGAGGGAGCAGUUUGGAAGCCUCUGAAGUCCCUCCAGUCUGGUUGAUUAAUAAAACAAAUGAGAUGCUGCAAGCGG
Molecule: long non-coding RNA, 1233 nt
Organism: Anguilla rostrata (American eel)
Lineage: Eukaryota; Metazoa; Chordata; Actinopteri; Anguilliformes; Anguillidae
Exons: 2
Source: RefSeq, a predicted model, not a curated record